AUUGAACGCUGGCGGCAGGCCUAACACAUGCAAGACGAGCGGAUGAAGGGAGCUUGCUCCUGGAUUCAGCGGCGGACGGGUGAGUAAUGCCUAGGAAUCUGCCUGGUAGUGGGGGAUAACGUCCGGAAACGGGCGCUAAUACCGCAUACGUCCUGAGGGAGAAAGUGGGGGAUCUUCGGACCUCACGCUAUCAGAUGAGCCUAGGUCGGAUUAGCUAGUUGGUGGGGUAAAGGCCUACCAAGGCGACGAUCCGUAACUGGUCUGAGAGGAUGAUCAGUCACACUGGAACUGAGACACGGUCCAGACUCCUACGGGAGGCAGCAGUGGGGAAUAUUGGACAAUGGGCGAAAGCCUGAUCCAGCCAUGCCGCGUGUGUGAAGAAGGUCUUCGGAUUGUAAAGCACUUUAAGUUGGGAGGAAGGGCAGUAAGUUAAUACCUUGCUGUUUUGACGUUACCAACAGAAUAGGCACCGGCUAACUUCGUG
RNAcentral lists this ribosomal RNA (484 nucleotides) under uncultured bacterium. RNAcentral describes it as "partial 16S ribosomal RNA". It matches the Rfam family "Bacterial small subunit ribosomal RNA", at positions 30 to 507 of the family's 1533-position model. The record is from RNAcentral.